AGCUAACUUGCCCAGACUGGGCUCAAACUUACAAUCCUCCCGCCUCAGCUUCCUAGAGCAUUGGGAUCACAGAAUGCACCAGUGUGUUCACCCCUUUGGGGACAUUUCAUACCCAAACUACAGCAGUUUAAUUACCAGAAACUUCACAGAAAGAAAGUCUCUUCUCAGCAUUUCGCGCUGGUCCCUUCUGUCUCUGGAGUGGAGUCUGGUUCUGUUCUGUGUGACGGUGCUUCCUGUAUUAAAGCAGCUCCCAGGCCCCACCUACCACCUCUCUUCCCUGGCCUAAGCAUGGCCACAGCCUUCAGCAGUGACUUGCGUGACAUUUUGAGCCCUGCUUCUUGCUCCUUACACACAAAGAGAGCCGAGGUCUGCACAUCAGAGCCCCAGCGGAAGCUCAGACCUCAAAGGCGACCCAUUUUCCUCCCACCCCUGCCUGCAGUUGAGGCAGGGGGCCUGGUUUGAGUGUCUGGCCUUGAACGUCAGCCUGGGAGGCACCACUGCCCCCAGGGCUCUCGCUUGCCUGUUGCUUAAUCUGCCCGUGAAGUCAGUCAUCGGAGGCACCUGCUGCCAGCUGGGCAAACAGCUCUGGGCCAGAGCAGAGCGCCAUCAGCCUUCGCAGCCCCACAUUGCCCGGUUUCUCCGUGUCACAGUGGCCGCAGGACGUGACAUCCUGGCUGAGCCAGAUGAGUGAGACAGCGCAGCUGACUUCAGCAGUGCCCGCGCUCCUCCGAAAGCCGUGAGUCACCGCGCUCUGCAAGCUGCAGCAUGUAACAGACCCAUGCAGGUCAAAAUCAACCCUGCGUCUUCACUGUGACCACCCAUCCGGCCACAUUCACAGCCUCCCUCUAGGACAACCAGGCUCAGCCUUCUGGGACUUCAGUAAGGGCGCUGAACCAGGGCUGUGAGCAUCUCAGCAGCCCCUCUGCUGAGGACAGCAGGCUCAUGUCCAGGGCUCUUCGUCACCCUCAGCACGAACCACUGGCCCGGAGUUGCACUGCCCGGCCAUGCUGACCACCGCAGGAUCUACUCCACUGAGCAGCAAUGCUAACAGACAGUUUACCACCUGGCUGGGAACCAAACUCGUGAAAACAACUUCUCCAAAGCAGAUCGUGGUGCAUUGUGACAGAGGCCGUCCUUCAGUACUGAUCUAGAAAACAGACGAGCCCUCUUGGCCCAAGAAUGAGUCAGCCACCUUGAUUCCACAGCGCAACUGACUGUUCGAAGACACCCAGGGUCCCCCCAACGUCACCUCAGAUCUCUGAGAUGUGGAACAUGAGGAAGACUAGAAAGAUGGCCGCCUUGACCUCCUGAAAUUCCUCCUGAAGAUGAAGUGCCGAGCCCAGCAGUCCACAGGAGAGUUCAUAGACAGUUCCAUUACACACAGCAAGACCUCCAGAGGAUCAGAUGUUCACCCAUGGGAAGAUGUGGACCGGAUGGGCAGAUUCAGAUGCAACUCAUAUUCUCAUCGGCUUCGGUACUGGGGUCACGGAGGGUGAGGGACGGAGUUGCUCUGUGCUUACCAGGAGAUCUCACGUUUGGGCUUUCGUUUUGUGGGAUUUGUUGUUGUUUGUUUUUGCAAAACACAUGAAUGCAGUUGAUCCCCUUGAUGGAACUUUGGGAGCCUCAGAACCCCUCAGAGGAUGUGCUCCUGACGUCAUCUACGUGUCCCUCCUUGGUGACUGAGCCAGAACGGCUCUGUUCUCUCUUCCUGGCUCUUUGCCUUUUUACAAACCACUUUUAGGCUUUUCUAGUAUUCAAAACAUUAUACGGCAGUCAGUAAGAUGGAGGUCAGGAGUCAGCUCAGUAGUGAGGUCUAUAGCCCGUGAGGGCUCUGAGGUAACCGCACUGGCACAAGGGGAAGCCAGCACUACAGCUGAGGCAAAUUUAUCCUCUUUGGGCAUGAAAGGGGGCUAGCAAAUGUAUUGUUUUGAAAUUGAACAGAGAUUUUAAGUUUCAAAAAUUUCCAAAAAAUCUGCAGAUUUGGUUGAAGAUGUAUUGUCUAUCAAUCGAUUCAGAUUUUUUCCUUGGUCCCAUCUUUCUGUUGCCUGUCCUUUGGUUAUUGUUGUUACUUACUCUCUGGUAGAAGGAGGAUAGGUUCCCAGAGAGAAGGAAACAGAAAAAAAAUUAACUCUAUUUUCUUCCUAUGUUGGAAUCUGUUAGAUUUUCAUGGGAACAGGAGGCCAAGAGUCUGGGUAAAAGUUAUUUGGGAUAUAUACACUCAGGUGGAGUACACUGCAAUAGUUAGGGUUUAUAUUAGAAAGAUCUAGAUUUAAUUACAUAAUUGACAACAAAUUUUUAUGCCUCUGGGAAAAUUUACUAAACUUCUUUUCUUUAAUUUUCUCAUUUAUAAAAGGGGAAUACUGUUAGUUUCACAGGUAUGCUAGGGCACUCAGUUAAGUAAGUAUGAGAAGUCCUCGGUUAUGUUCCCAACAUACAGGAACAUUUAUUUAUUAUUCAUUAUUACUAUCAUUAUGUUCUUAGUGACUUUUCUCUAGCAAUCUGGCAUAUGUGGCUUAUUUUGCCUAUUCAGCUGGUAAACCGUUGUGUCAGAGUUCCAGACACUGUCAGGAUGUUUCUGAGAAUUUAGUUGACAAGUCCUUCCUUCCGUCCACCGUAUUGCUUUCUCUCUUCCAACAGUGCCUGCAUGCCUCCGCUGGUGAGUGCCUAUACAUGGCUAUGCUAUUCAGGUAGCAGCAUUUCCUGAGGGAGAUGAAAGCAGUUUUCUUUCAAAUGCAGAGGAGUUGAGCACACACAAAAAAUGUGUUUGUUUAUAUCUGAUCAUGGAGCUGCAAGUCUCCAAACUCACUAUUCAUGGAAAGCCAGAAAUUUGGGGAAGUUUGUCAUUUGUUUUUAAGAGUUCAUAUGGCAGCAUUCAGAAAAAAACAUAAAAGAGAACAUCUUGAAAUUUUUCCUCCAAAAUAUUUCAGACCCACUAGCCUUAUGUAUGGCUUACUGCAGUUGCAUUUUAAACAUCAAGAAUAAUAUAAUGCUUUAAAAAAUCGAAUGUGGCCAAUCCAUCCAGCAGUCAGUGCGGUGCUCUUCUGUCCGGGAAUGGCCUGGCCCCAGGGGGGUGGCCUGCCCUCGGCCUCACGAGAAGAAAUAACUACAAGCCACAAUGGGAGUGUGGCUAGCUUGGCUUUGGUCCCUCUCGGACUAGAAAGGUGCUAUUCUCGAACACUCCCAAUUUUGGUGUCAAAAGAGCUUUCUGAAAGUUUCAAGGGAGGAGUAGAAGACUUGAACUUCUCUUCCAAAGUGCACCAGAAUCAGCUCAGCUUGAGUACUGGCUUUAGCUGAGUUAAAAGUGCCAGGCCAACAAUAGUGACAUCAACUCAGCAACUGCAGCGAAGUGACACCUGUGUGUGCCUUCCUGUUGCGUCCUCACGGUGCCUCUCAGAGUCACAAGAACACCAGCAAACAUUGCUGAGUCCUUACCGCGUGCUAGAGUUCACACUGCCAGAUCAGCACUGGCGACAGCCUCCUGAGGUAGUACUGUCCGAUUUGAUGAUCUAAGUGAGGCGGGGAGGCUAAGUUAGUGGCCACACUGCAGAGACAGGGUUUGAACCGGGGCCUGCCUAGCCCCACUGGCUGUGCCUCUCAGCACUGAGGGAGGAGGCACCGGUGAGUGGGACCCCACCGCCCAGGCACAUGGUCCUUAGGAUAGUCAGGCCCCCGAGCCUGGAUUUCUCAGUCCCUGGCUGGCACCUUCCUGUUAUAUUGGGCUAAAAGCACUCUAUAUUUUGGAUUAUUAAACUUUACGGAGCUCAUAAAACCACCACAGUUAGCCUGGCCUGCAGCUGGGAGUCAUUAGGACAGUAAGUGCCCGAGUCAGUGCACCUGUGCAGCAGGACGGGGUUGUUCAGAUGUUUUACGGGGCAAAAAUACUUUCUUUGAUUCUGUUUGCUGUUUACUGUUUAAAAUUCCUGAAUGUAGAGAAGUUAUGUGUUAAGUUGCCCACUUUUGCUUAGUGGAGAUACAGUUUCUGUCUGGCAGGCUAAAAAUCAACUCCAAAGUGCAGAGUUCAUCUCCCCAGAAGACGUUAAUCAGUUUGUGCUGUCAGGUUAUGCUCACAUUCCUUUUGUAAAUUACCUGGAAAUAUGAAUUUCUCCGAACUGGUCUGAAGGGAACGGUCUGGGUAAGGCCUCUGACAUCUGAUGAAGGGGCCACACAGUUACCUCUUUGAAACCUGUCCCUGAGCCCCAUCCGUGCCUGUGGGCCCCAGAGUAUGGACGGUUUAACCAACCUAGAAAACGCGGGCAGCAGAAUCGGCCGCCCCGCCCUCAUCGCCCUGGGUGACACAGUGCUGGGCACACUCAGUGCGCAUUGAGAGCAUAUGUUUCCCGAUCGCCUCUGUGCCCUCUGCCUUGAACACAAGGCUCAGCUGUGGGUCCUCGGGACAGGCUCUGAGCCGCUGCAGUGAGGGAGUUUCUUAGACCCCGGGACACCCCGGAGCCACGGCGAGGCCCUGGGUGCUGUCCUUCAGGGUCAGGCCUGAGGAGUCUGCCCUCGGAAGGGGCGCGUUGGGUUGGGUUCGCGGGCCUGGCUGCACGUUAGAUAUCACCGGGAAUGAAAACACGAAACCCUUCAGGAGCUCGAUUUAAUCAAGUGUGCUGGCCUGGCGUCAGCAUGCUUUGGAAAGUGUCCUGGGGAUUGUCAUGGGCCGCUGGCUAGCACUGUCCCUAAGGCAGCCCAGGGGACUCCCUGGCCGCUCCUCCUCUUCCUCCUCAAGCUUGGGUAACUUGAGCCGAGUUCAGAGGGCCUGGGCUGUUUUCCGGUGGAGCGCCAGCCCCGUUGGGUUGGUUGUCUUCGCGGUGGGCGCUGGAGGAGCUCCGGAGCCCAGGGAACGCCGGCUCCUCCCAGGUUCGCAUCCUAUGGGCCGUCUCUCUGCCGCCCGCGCUGGCCGCCCGCUCCGCGGUGCGACCCUUCCCCCUUCCUUCUCCCCUUCAAAUUCCGAGUUCCUGGAGGCCACUGCAAUGUCUCAGAGAUGGAAGACCAGCUUUGACAGGCUGUCGGCAGGUUGGAAACUGCAGCUUGUAGCAGUGUCCCGGCCGCUCUCCCUUUUCUCAGGCUCUCUGCUGUCCGCCGGCGGGCAGGCUUCGGGCGGGCGAGGAGCGGGCAGGGGCCAAAGGGCAGCCUCGGGGCCUCGCAGCCCACCUCCCGGGCCUCUGCAGUUCUCCUCCUCGUCUCCUCCUCCACCUGCCAGCCCAGUCCUUCC
Molecule: long non-coding RNA, 5212 nt
Organism: Fukomys damarensis (Damara mole-rat)
Lineage: Eukaryota; Metazoa; Chordata; Mammalia; Rodentia; Bathyergidae
Exons: 5
Source: RefSeq, a predicted model, not a curated record